Molecule: ribosomal RNA, 498 nt
Filed under: uncultured bacterium
Lineage: Bacteria
Description: bacterial SSU rRNA
Rfam family: Bacterial small subunit ribosomal RNA
Source: RNAcentral
GAUUCUGGCUCAGGAUGAACGCUAGCUACAGGCUUAACACAUGCAAGUCGAGCGGAACACCUUCGGGUGUUAGCGGCAGACGGGUGAGUAACACGUAUCCAACCUUUCCCUUACUCGGGUAUAGCCUCGGGAAACUGAGAGUAAUCCCCGAUGAAGUGUACGAGGAGCAUUUUUUGCACACCAAAGAUUUAUCGGUGAGGGGUGGGGAUGCGUUCCAUUAGGUAGUAGGCGGGGCAACGGCCCACCUAGCCGAUGAUGGAUAGGGGUUCUGAGAGGAAGGUCCCCCACAUUGGAACUGCGACACGGUCCAAACUCCUACGGGAGGCAGCAGUGAGGAAUAUUGGUCAAUGGUCGGAAGACUGAACCAGCCAAGUAGCGUGCAGGAAUGACGGCCCUAUGGGUUGUAAACUGCUUUUGUGCGGGAAUAACGUGGUCCACGUGUGGGUCAGUGCAUGUACCGUACGAAUAAGGAUCGGCUAACUCCGUGCCAGCCGCUGC